GCUGUAGUGGCCGAGUGGUCUAAGGCGGUAGAUUUAAGUUAAUUCCGAACUCUACUGGGGUGACCCGCGCGCGUUCGAGUAAGUUUUCCCGUGUUGAUGCC
Molecule: transfer RNA, 101 nt
Filed under: Friedmanniomyces endolithicus
Lineage: Eukaryota; Fungi; Ascomycota; Dothideomycetes; Mycosphaerellales; Teratosphaeriaceae
Description: tRNA-Leu
Source: RNAcentral